AUAAUUCUCUUAAAGUAGUGACUUCACCAACAGGAAUUCUAGGCCUGCUCAAGGGAUAAGCAGAGUAUGUCGGGUUCCCAGGUGCCAAUGAACAGAGAAAUAGCCAAAGGGCUCGCUGAGUGGGAGCAGAGGUAAAUGGGCCCGGAUAAUUGGAAAACUGGAUAGUCACGAGGUUAACUAUGCCACAGGCAAGAAUCCAGAUGGUUCCAACCUACCUCAGCCAGUAUGACAUGAAACAAGGUCCCAGCUUGAACACUCUGAGUUUUGAACAGAUAUGUCUGAGAGGACAUCUGCCAGAAGCCUAUUUGCAUGAGGAACUUAGAAACCUCCAGGAGAAAGCUCAGACUGAAGGAAAGAGGAGUCGGCUUGCCAACUGCAAGGCACCAGACAAUAAAUAAUGCCUUAGUGGUCAAUGGAAAG
This 420-nucleotide non-coding RNA is filed under the name Pan troglodytes (chimpanzee). The record is from RNAcentral. Lineage: Eukaryota; Metazoa; Chordata; Mammalia; Primates; Hominidae.